ACGCUCGACACCUACGGGGCAGCAGUCGGGAAUAUUGCGCAAUGGAGGAAACUCUGACGCAGUGACGCCGCGUAUAGGAAGAAGGUUUUCGGAUUGUAAACUAUUGUCGUUAGGGAAGAGAAAGGACAGUACCUAAGGAGGAAGCUCCGGCUAACUACGUGCCAGCAGCCGAGGUAAUCUGAGCGGGCUGGCAAGGC
RNAcentral lists this ribosomal RNA (197 nucleotides) under uncultured bacterium. RNAcentral describes it as "partial 16S ribosomal RNA". It matches the Rfam family "Bacterial small subunit ribosomal RNA", at positions 326 to 539 of the family's 1533-position model. The record is from RNAcentral.